GACGAACGCUGGCGGCGUGCCUAAUACAUGCAAGUCGAACGAGAGCAACCGGUGCUUGCCCUGGUCAAUCUAGUGGCGCACGGGUGAGUAACACGUGGGUAACCUGCCCAUCAGAGGGGGAUAACAUCCGGAAACGGAUGCUAAAACCGCAUAGGUCUUCGAACCGCAUGGUUUGAAGAGGAAAAGAGGCGCAAGCUUCUGCUGAUGGAUGGACCCGCGGUGCAUUAGCUAGUUGGUGAGGUAACGGCUCACCAAGGCCGUGAUGCAUAGCCGACCUGAGAGGGGGAUCGGCCACAUUGGGACUGAGACACGGCCCAAACUCCUACGGGAGGCAGCAGUAGGGAAUCUUCCGCAAUGGACGCAAGUCUGACGGAGCAACGCCGCGUGAGUGAAGAAGGUUUUCGGAUCGUAAAACUCUGUUGUUAGAGAAGAACAAGUGCUAGAGUAACUGUUAGCGCCUUGACGGUAUCUAACCAGAAAGCCACGGCUAACUACGUG
Molecule: ribosomal RNA, 498 nt
Filed under: uncultured bacterium
Lineage: Bacteria
Description: partial 16S ribosomal RNA
Rfam family: Bacterial small subunit ribosomal RNA
Source: RNAcentral